CGAGCUAGCCAGGAGGAAGAGAUAAGCCCAAAGUCUGGGAUUUAUUCUUCUCCUUUCUCCUUUUCCUUUCUGCUCCAAACAGGCGAAUCUCUUUCUCUCUCUUUUCCUUUCCAACCUGGGACCCUUGGUGGGCAGCACCUAAACAUGGAAGCAACUGCAGGUUUCUGGCCAUGGUCAGUGAAACUAAGGGGUUUCCACAGGCAAAGCCCAACCACCACUGCCCAAUUUGCUUAAGGAAUCUGGGUCUUUUUCAUUUUUUUACUCUUCUUUUUUUUUUUUUUUUUCCGUCUUUCAAUGGCUGUUUCCUAGUAGCUCCUUGGAAACUGAGGACAAUUGGCUGAGGUCACUCCCCAGUGUUGCCUGAAGGCCUAGGAACAAAUGGGAAUAAUUGCCCUACCCAGAAGGGGAAAGGACUUUUUAAAAAUCUUUUCCACACCUGGUCCCUGAUUCCUAUGUGUGGUGCAGUUUGGAGCAAACUACCUGUUUCAGGUGACUCAAACUUUCUUUUCUUAUGCUAAAUUCUUCACUUCCCCUAUUCAACUGGCUAAGGGCAAAGGAAACCCACCAAGCCUCCAGUUCCUGUCAUUAAAGUUUAUGGAAUGGGAUAAGUUAUGGAAUGGGAUUUGAUAAGCGUGGCCUUAUCAAAUUAUAAGGAUGCUAAAAGUCGAGUUUUACACCCAGGAAACAGCUCACAGUAGGCUCUGGAGGGAAUGCAUGCAAAGUGGCACCGGUGCCCACCUAAGGCCAAGAGACAUCUGGAACUCUUAAGAUUGAACCCCACAGGAGGACACUCGGAGGGGAUCAUCCGGAACUCAAACUUUCCAAAGAAGAUGCUCUCUGCAGAGAGACCAUCGAGCUUCAGAUGAUCACUCAACAAAGGCUCCAGCAAGUUCCAGGUGAAGACACCACCCCUGGCCAUCAAGGAGCUACCCUGCCUCCACUAGACACAGCAGGAAGCCAUUGGCUGCUCUUUGCAAGGAAUCCUUAGACAGACCUCUGGGAGGAAUCUGACUACUGUUUUCCCCAAAACAAUACGCCAUCAGCAGGAAGCGGCUAAGACCAGUCAUCAUCCAUAUUUUAAAGGCAGUUACACGUACUUCUUCAGAGGGGGAAAAUGAUAUGGAAGGGAGGAAGGGAAUUGCUGGGAAGGGAAGGGCAUGGUCCCUUUAA
RNAcentral lists this long non-coding RNA (1170 nucleotides) under Homo sapiens (human). RNAcentral describes it as "HSALNT0364534". Lineage: Eukaryota; Metazoa; Chordata; Mammalia; Primates; Hominidae. The record is from RNAcentral.